RNAcentral lists this ribosomal RNA (271 nucleotides) under uncultured bacterium. RNAcentral describes it as "partial 16S ribosomal RNA". It matches the Rfam family "Bacterial small subunit ribosomal RNA", at positions 334 to 621 of the family's 1533-position model. The record is from RNAcentral.
UCCUCCUACGGGACGCAGCAGUGGGGAAUAUUGCACAAUGGGGGAAACCCUGAUGCAGCGACGCCGCGUGAAGGAAGAAGUAUCUCGGCAUGUAAACUUCUAUCGGCAGGGAAGAAAACGGACGGUACCUGACUAAGAAGCCCCGGCUAACUACGUGCCAGCAGCCGCGGUAAUACGUAGGGGGCGAGCGUUAUCCGGAUUUACUGGGUGUAAAGGGAGCGGAGACGGCUGUGCAAGUCUGUAGUGAAAUGCCGGGGCCCAACCCCGGAAC